This 70-nucleotide transfer RNA is filed under the name Dipodomys ordii (Ord's kangaroo rat). It matches the Rfam family "tRNA". Rfam says of the family: Transfer RNA (tRNA) molecules are approximately 80 nucleotides in length. Their secondary structure includes four short double-helical elements and three loops (D, anti-codon, and T loops). Lineage: Eukaryota; Metazoa; Chordata; Mammalia; Rodentia; Heteromyidae. The record is from Rfam by way of RNAcentral.
GGGAAGGUGGCUCAGUGGUAGAGUGCUUGCCUAGCAUGCAUGAAGCCCUGGGUUUGACUCCUCCGUACCA